Molecule: long non-coding RNA, 878 nt
Organism: Haliotis rubra (blacklip abalone)
Lineage: Eukaryota; Metazoa; Mollusca; Gastropoda; Lepetellida; Haliotidae
Exons: 2
Source: RefSeq, a predicted model, not a curated record
AUCAAAACAUACUAAGAAGCAAUGAGGGGAUUGUGCAAUCACGUGACUAGCAUGUGAUUGUUGAGAUGUUUCUAAAUUGCGGACUGAGAAAUACGGAUUAGGAGUCAAUGACAGUGACUUUGAUAGUGACGAACCAGCCCCACCCUUGCCAACCCUUCUCCAAGCCACCAAGACCUUGGGUGCGUUCACAAGAUUUGUGGAUUCGAGAGAUGGAGGGCGGCUGUUACAAGCACUUGUCAUGUAUCAAGAUGUCCGGGAUAGAUAUACUCCGUAAGGCUUUCCGCCGAUCGAGAGGGAUCGACCCUGACAUGCCGUCUGCGAAUCUGGACUUUUGACAUCUGAGUGUUUUGGGAGAGUGACAUGCCGCCCGUGAAUCUGGACUUUUGACAUCUGAGUGUUUUGGGAGAGUGACAUGCCGCCCGUGAAUCUGGACUUUUGACAUCUGAGUGUUUUGGGAGAGUGACAUGCCGCCCGUGAAUCUGGACUUUUGACAUCUGAGUGUUUUGGGAGAGUGACAUGCCUCCCGUGAAUCGGGACUUUUGACAUCCGAGUAUUCAGGGAGAGUGACAUGCCGCCCGUGAAUCUGGACUUAUGACAUCUGAGUGUUUAGGGAGAGUGACAUGCCCCAUCCAUUAAGGCUGUCCCAACCGAUCAACAUAGACCAUACCGGCAGGCCGCCUACUGUGUAAACUGCACAGGAUAAAGUAAAGUAUGCGUUGGAUGUAGUUGGUCUGUAUAUUCCAUUUAAUGUAUAUAUCAUAUCAUAUGAACUGUUGUGUGUUUCAUUAGAAAGGCCUUUGUAAUGGUGUUACAUUUGGAGCGUUGAUGUGAGUGUAUGUGAAUGGUGAGGUAUGAGGUACGUACUUGGCUAAGUAGGG